GACGAACGCUGGCGGCGUGCUUAACACAUGCAAGUCGAACGGAAAGGCCCUGCUUUUGUGGGGUGCUCGAGUGGCGAACGGGUGAGCAACGCGUGAGUAACCUGCCCUUGACUUUGGGAUAACUUCAGGAAACUGGGGCUAAUACCGGAUAGGAGCUCCUGCUGCAUGGUGGGGGUUGGAAAGUUUCGGCGGUUGGGGAUGGACUCGCGGCUUAUCAGCUUGUUGGUGGGGUAGUGGCUUACCAAGGCUUUGACGGGUAGCCGGCCUGAGAGGGUGACCGGCCACAUUGGGACUGAGAUACGGCCCAGACUCCUACGGGAGGCAGCAGUGGGGAAUAUUGCACAAUGGGCGGAAGCCUGAUGCAGCAACGCCGCGUGCGGGAUGACGGCCUUCGGGUUGUAAACCGCUUUCGCCUGUGACGAAGCGUGAGUGACGGUAAUGGGUAAAGAAGCACCGGCUAACUACGUG
RNAcentral lists this ribosomal RNA (468 nucleotides) under uncultured bacterium. Its description in RNAcentral is "partial 16S ribosomal RNA". It matches the Rfam family "Bacterial small subunit ribosomal RNA", at positions 28 to 507 of the family's 1533-position model. The record is from RNAcentral.